UAAUACUUACUGGAGGUCCGAACCCACGCACGUUGAAAAGUGCGGGGAUGAGGUGUGGGUAGCGGAGAAAUUCCAAUCGAACUUGGAGAUAGCUGGUUCUCUCCGAAAUAGCUUUAGGGCUAGCCUCGAGGUAAAGAGUCAUGGAGGUAGAGCACUGUUUGGACUAGGGGCCCUUCUCGGGUUACCGAAUUCAGAUAAACUCCGAAUGCCAUGUACUUAUACUCGGGAGUCAGACUGCGAGUGAUAAGAUCCGUAGUCGAAAGGGAAACAGCCCAGACCACCAGUUAAGGUCCCCAAAUAUAUGUUAAGUGGAAAAGGAUGUGGGGUUGCUUAGACAACCAGGAUGUUGGCUUAGAAGCAGCCACCAUUGAAAGAGUGCGUAAUAGCUCACUGGUCGAGUGACCCCGCGCCGAAAAUGUACCGGGGCUAAACAUAUUACCGAAACUGUGGAUGAACCUCUUUAGAGGUUCGUGGUAGGAGAGCGUUCUAAGGGCGGUGAAGUCAGACCGGAAGGACUGGUGGAGCGCUUAGAAGUGAGAAUGCCGGUAUGAGUAGCGAAAGAAGGGUGAGAAUCCCUUCCACCGAAUAUCUAAGGUUUCCUGAGGAAGGCUCGUCCGCUCAGGGUUAGUCGGGACCUAAGCCGAGGCCGAUAGGCGUAGGCGAUGGACAACAGGUAGAGAUUCCUGUACCAGUGCUAAUUGUUUAACCGAUGGGGUGACACAGAAGGAUAGGGAAUCGCACGAAUGGAAAUGUGCGUCCAAGCAGUGAGUGUGAG
RNAcentral lists this ribosomal RNA (775 nucleotides) under Listeria monocytogenes. RNAcentral describes it as "partial 23S ribosomal RNA". It matches the Rfam family "Bacterial large subunit ribosomal RNA", at positions 757 to 1529 of the family's 2925-position model. Lineage: Bacteria; Bacillati; Bacillota; Bacilli; Caryophanales; Listeriaceae. The record is from RNAcentral.